GGGGGAUUAGCUCAGUUGGUAGAGCGCUUGCAUGGCAUGCAAGAGGUCAGCGGUUCGAACCCGCUAUCCUCCA
Molecule: transfer RNA, 73 nt
Filed under: Chitinophaga costaii
Lineage: Bacteria; Pseudomonadati; Bacteroidota; Chitinophagia; Chitinophagales; Chitinophagaceae
Also listed under: 1 other name
Rfam family: tRNA
About the family: Transfer RNA (tRNA) molecules are approximately 80 nucleotides in length. Their secondary structure includes four short double-helical elements and three loops (D, anti-codon, and T loops).
Source: Rfam by way of RNAcentral